This is a long non-coding RNA of Daktulosphaira vitifoliae (grape phylloxera), 1466 nucleotides long. RefSeq lists it as uncharacterized. The transcript is spliced from 5 exons. Lineage: Eukaryota; Metazoa; Arthropoda; Insecta; Hemiptera; Phylloxeridae. The record is from RefSeq and is a predicted model, not a curated record.
UUAUCACAACCGCGCCGCCGUUUUGUGCGUCGUCGUUUAUUCUGUCGUUAUUUCAAUAUAGUGUUUUGACCGUAUUCGUUUAUUAAUGUGAUUUUGUAAAUUUUUCAGUUCUAUUGCGAUUAUAUAUAUAUUAAUCGAAACGUGCGCUCGAUAAUUUUACAGCGAUGACGACGAUCGACUUGGUUUUCGAAUUGUCUACGUUUUAACGAUGAUAUUGUUUAAUUCCGUUUUGUAAAUUUAUCCGUCAUACGUCCGUUUAUUCAUUAUAAAUUAAUUAUAUGGGGGUAGUGCGUGUUUAUUCGUUAAAAAACGCGUGCGUUGGGCGACGAUUUUACCACUAUUGCUGUGCUACACUGUUGUGCCAGGAUAACCGAGCUGUAGAUUGUUGGCUGUCAUCACUAUUGGAUUUCUGGCACAGAUGGCGUUUGUUGUGUCCGAAGGACUGCUUCAAUAACGGUUCAGUCCGUUGGCCAAGAGCGCAGUCUCUAACUGCUAACCGAUUUAUUACACAAACUGCGGGUGGCUUGGAUAGCAACAACAUUAUCAUUUUUUUUUUUUUUUUUACUCACGGUGUGUCGUUCAUUUUUGUUUAGCCCGUGCUUUUCCCUUACCGUUGGAAGAAAACCAAAAAGAUCGCAUUUCAUAUAUACUGCCAUUAUUUUGUUGUCUUCUCGGUGACAUCUAACUGCCGAACACAGCUUGGAAAACACUACUGUUGGCCUUCGGAGUUCAUCGAGAAAACGACUACAGACUUAUCCAUCGAUCGUACUUUAAAGUUAUUAUUGAAUUAUGUUUUUUUACAUAAACUCUGUUCUAUUUUUUUUUUUCGUGCAUAAAACUAAAAAAAAUUAAAAAUUGGAGUUUAAUUUGAUUAUAUAACUUUUUAAAUUAUUUAUUUUAUGCAUAAUUAGUAAUUAUAAUUAAAGGAACACAUGUGAAUUUUUAAAUUAAUUUUUAUGCGUCAUACAAUUAAUAUAACACCGGCUCUGUAAAAUCGUAUACGUUAAAUGAAUAUUGUAUAUCAAUAAUAAUUAAUUGAAAGCCGUUUAUUUAGCUUUGGCACUGGACACUUUAUAACCAUAAUUUUUUUUAUAUUUGGCCUGGGAAAUUUUUAGCAUACUAAUUAUUUAUAAGUUAAUUAAAAUACUUCAUUUCUAUAUAGGAAACACCAUUAUCGUAUAAAACCAAAAGAUUUUAUUAAAUACCUCAAAAUCAGUUUUUAAUAUUAAAUUAUUUAUAUUAUCUUUCACUACUCUUAUUCAUUUAAUCAACCCGUUCUGUAAAUUAAUUAACUCCCGAUACAAUACAGGCUCAAUGAUUUUCUCAUAAGACAUUUCACUACUUUCUAAUUUAUUGUCUAUUAAAUGUCGACACAUUAUAGUAUAUCGUUUACAUUUUACAUUCAUAAGUGAAACAUUUACCGAGUACAAUACAUUAUAAUAAUAUUAAUUGAUGCCUUAAACUAU